This 759-nucleotide ribosomal RNA is filed under the name uncultured archaeon. Its description in RNAcentral is "bacterial SSU rRNA". It matches the Rfam family "Archaeal small subunit ribosomal RNA", at positions 102 to 859 of the family's 1478-position model. The record is from RNAcentral.
GGAUAACCUGCCCUUGGGUCCGGCAUAACCCCGGGAAACUGGGGAUAAUUCCGGAUAACGCACAUAUGCUGGAAUGCUUUAUGCGUAAAAUGGAUUCGUCUGCCCAAGGAUGGGUCUGCGGCCUAUCAGGUAGUAGUGGGUGUAAUGUACCUACUAGCCUACAACGGGUACGGGUUGUGAGAGCAAGAGCCCGGAGAUGGAUUCUGAGACAUGAAUCCAGGCCCUACGGGGCGCAGCAGGCGCGAAAACUUUACAAUGCGGGAAACCGUGAUAAGGGGACACCGAGUGCCAGCAUCAUAUGCUGGCUGUCCAGAUGUGUAAAAUACAUCUGUUAGCAAGGGCCGGGCAAGACCGGUGCCAGCCGCCGCGGUAACACCGGCGGCCCGAGUGGUGAUCGUGAUUAUUGGGUCUAAAGGGUCCGUAGCCGGUUUGGUCAGUCCUCCGGGAAAUCUGAUGGCUCAACCAUUAGGCUUUCGGGGGAUACUGCCAGGCUUGGAACCGGGAGAGGUAAGAGGUACUACAGGGGUAGGAGUGAAAUCUUGUAAUCCCUGUGGGACCACCUGUGGCGAAGGCGUCUUACCAGAACGGGUUCGACGGUGAGGGACGAAAGCUGGGGGCACGAACCGGAUUAGAUACCCGGGUAGUCCCAGCCGUAAACGAUGCUCGCUAGGUGUCAGGCAUGGCGCGACCGUGUCUGGUGCCGCAGGGAAGCCGUGAAGCGAGCCACCUGGGAAGUACGGCCGCAAGGCUGAAACUUAA